This 571-nucleotide ribosomal RNA is filed under the name uncultured Candidatus Saccharibacteria bacterium. RNAcentral's name for it is "bacterial SSU rRNA". It matches the Rfam family "Bacterial small subunit ribosomal RNA", at positions 312 to 899 of the family's 1533-position model. The record is from RNAcentral. Lineage: Bacteria; Candidatus Saccharimonadota.
ACUGGGACUGAGAACGGCCCAGACUCCUACGGGAGGCAGCAGUAGGGAAUUUUCCACAAUGGGCGAAAGCCUGAUGGAGCAACGCCGCGUGCAGGAUGAAUGCCUUCGGGUUGUAAACUGCUUUUAUAUGUGACGAAUAUGACGGUAGCAUAUGAAUAAGGAUCGGCUAACUCCGUGCCAGCAGCCGCGGUCAUACGGAGGAUCCAAGCGUUAUCCGGAAUUACUGGGCGUAAAGAGUUGCGUAGGUGGCAGAGUAUGUCUGUAGUGAAAGCGUGUGGCUCAACCAUAUACACAUUACAGAAACUGCUCAGCUAGAGGACGAGAGAGGUUAUUGGAAUUCCUAGUGUAGGAGUGAAAUCCGUAGAUAUUAGGAGGAACACCGAUGGCGUAGGCAGAUAACUGGCUCGUUCCUGACACUAAGGCACGAAAGCGUGGGGAGCAAACGGGAUUAGAUACCCCGGUAGUCCACGCCGUAAACGAUGGAUGCUAGCUGUUAUAGGUAUCGACCCCUGUAGUAGCGAAGCUAACGCGUUAAGCAUCCCGCCUGUGGAGUACGGUCGCAAGACUAAAA